This 405-nucleotide long non-coding RNA is filed under the name Homo sapiens (human). Its description in RNAcentral is "HSALNT0318671". The record is from RNAcentral. Lineage: Eukaryota; Metazoa; Chordata; Mammalia; Primates; Hominidae.
CCGCCAUGAUUGUGAGGCUUCCCCAGCCAUGUGGAAACAUAUUCGCAGAGCACCCACUAGGUGCCAGUAAAUGUAUGAGAAGUCCUGUGGAAUAAGACUGAAGUUGUCCUUGCCUUCAAGCAACUUGCAAUUGCCUAAGAACACAGUUUAAAACCACAAAACUAAGCCUUGGAAAUCACAUGCUGUCAUUUCUGCGAUCGGUCAUAACCAGUCCUGAUUCCAUGUUAGAGGAGACUACAUAAGGACACAGGUACCAGAAGAUGAAAAAUUUGGAGUCUAGUGAAAAGAAGUGACUUGCUCAAAAUCACACAGCACAUGAAGAACAGAGCCUCUAUGAUGAAUUUCUUGACAGCAUAAAGAAUUCUUGCAAACAACAAAGGAGACUUAGCUGAAACUUUUGGCCUC